RNAcentral lists this ribosomal RNA (1269 nucleotides) under Microbacterium sp. RNAcentral describes it as "bacterial SSU rRNA". It matches the Rfam family "Bacterial small subunit ribosomal RNA", at positions 68 to 1346 of the family's 1533-position model. Lineage: Bacteria; Bacillati; Actinomycetota; Actinomycetes; Micrococcales; Microbacteriaceae. The record is from RNAcentral.
GGUGACACGGAGCUUGCUCUGUGGGAUCAGUGGCGAACGGGUGAGUAACACGUGAGCAACCUGCCCCUGACUCUGGGAUAAGCGCUGGAAACGGCGUCUAAUACUGGAUAUGUGACGUGACCGCAUGGUCUGCGUUUGGAAAGAUUUUUCGGUUGGGGAUGGGCUCGCGGCCUAUCAGCUUGUUGGUGAGGUAAUGGCUCACCAAGGCGUCGACGGGUAGCCGGCCUGAGAGGGUGACCGGCCACACUGGGACUGAGACACGGCCCAGACUCCUACGGGAGGCAGCAGUGGGGAAUAUUGCACAAUGGGCGGAAGCCUGAUGCAGCAACGCCGCGUGAGGGAUGACGGCCUUUCGGGUUGUAAACCUCUUUUAGCAGGGAAGAAGCGAAAGUGACGGUACCUGCAGAAAAAGCGCCGGCUAACUACGUGCCAGCAGCCGCGGUAAUACGUAGGGCGCAAGCGUUAUCCGGAAUUAUUGGGCGUAAAGAGCUCGUAGGCGGUUUGUCGCGUCUGCUGUGAAAUCCCGAGGCUCAACCUCGGGCCUGCAGUGGGUACGGGCAGACUAGAGUGCGGUAGGGGAGAUUGGAAUUCCUGGUGUAGCGGUGGAAUGCGCAGAUAUCAGGAGGAACACCGAUGGCGAAGGCAGAUCUCUGGGCCGUAACUGACGCUGAGGAGCGAAAGGGUGGGGAGCAAACAGGCUUAGAUACCCUGGUAGUCCACCCCGUAAACGUUGGGAACUAGUUGUGGGGUCCAUUCCACGGAUUCCGUGACGCAGCUAACGCAUUAAGUUCCCCGCCUGGGGAGUACGGCCGCAAGGCUAAAACUCAAAGGAAUUGACGGGGACCCGCACAAGCGGCGGAGCAUGCGGAUUAAUUCGAUGCAACGCGAAGAACCUUACCAAGGCUUGACAUAUACGAGAACGGGCCAGAAAUGGUCAACUCUUUGGACACUCGUAAACAGGUGGUGCAUGGUUGUCGUCAGCUCGUGUCGUGAGAUGUUGGGUUAAGUCCCGCAACGAGCGCAACCCUCGUUCUAUGUUGCCAGCACGUAAUGGUGGGAACUCAUGGGAUACUGCCGGGGUCAACUCGGAGGAAGGUGGGGAUGACGUCAAAUCAUCAUGCCCCUUAUGUCUUGGGCUUCACGCAUGCUACAAUGGCCGGUACAAAGGGCUGCAAUACCGUGAGGUGGAGCGAAUCCCAAAAAGCCGGUCCCAGUUCGGAUUGAGGUCUGCAACUCGACCUCAUGAAGUCGGAGUCGCUAGUAAUCGCA